RNAcentral lists this ribosomal RNA (887 nucleotides) under uncultured Staphylococcus sp. Its description in RNAcentral is "bacterial SSU rRNA". It matches the Rfam family "Bacterial small subunit ribosomal RNA", at positions 28 to 896 of the family's 1533-position model. Lineage: Bacteria; Bacillati; Bacillota; Bacilli; Caryophanales; Staphylococcaceae. The record is from RNAcentral.
GAUGAACGCUGGCGGCGUGCCUAAUACAUGCAAGUCGAGCGAACGGACGAGAAGCUUGCUUCUCUGAUGUUAGCGGCGGACGGGUGAGUAACACGUGGAUAACCUACCUAUAAGACUGGGAUAACUUCGGGAAACCGGAGCUAAUACCGGAUGAUAUUUUGAACCGCAUGGUUCAAAAGUGAAAGACGGUCUUGCUGUCACUUAUAGAUGGAUCCGCGCUGCAUUAGCUAGUUGGUAAGGUAACGGCUUACCAAGGCAACGAUGCAUAGCCGACCUGAGAGGGUGAUCGGCCACACUGGAACUGAGACACGGUCCAGACUCCUACGGGAGGCAGCAGUAGGGAAUCUUCCGCAAUGGGCGAAAGCCUGACGGAGCAACGCCGCGUGAGUGAUGAAGGUCUUCGGAUCGUAAAACUCUGUUAUUAGGGAAGAACAUAUGUGUAAGUAACUGUGCACAUCUUGACGGUACCUAAUCAGAAAGCCACGGCUAACUACGUGCCAGCAGCCGCGGUAAUACGUAGGUGGCAAGCGUUAUCCGGAAUUAUUGGGCGUAAAGCGCGCGUAGGCGGUUUUUUAAGUCUGAUGUGAAAGCCCACGGCUCAACCGUGGAGGGUCAUUGGAAACUGGAAAACUUGAGUGCAGAAGAGGAAAGUGGAAUUCCAUGUGUAGCGGUGAAAUGCGCAGAGAUAUGGAGGAACACCAGUGGCGAAGGCGACUUUCUGGUCUGUAACUGACGCUGAUGUGCGAAAGCGUGGGGAUCAAACAGGAUUAGAUACCCUGGUAGUCCACGCCGUAAACGAUGAGUGCUAAGUGUUAGGGGGUUUCCGCCCCUUAGUGCUGCAGCUAACGCAUUAAGCACUCCGCCUGGGGAGUACGACCGCAAGGUUG